GGGGGCUGUAUAUAAGCAGGUGGCAGUGCCCACACGUUGCAUGGUGAGCCGAGGAGGAGGAGGGGGAGGCGGCCUGUCCCGCUCUCCUCUCUCUCGCGAUGCAGACACGGCGUUGGCGACAACAAGCCCCCAUGUCCUCGCCACGUCAUGCUAACUAUAGACGCUAAUACCUUAGAGAAAGCAGCAGUUUACACAGUGCAAGCCCCGAUGAGCUAUGAUAUUGAAGUCAUCUAGGCUAUAGAGUUGAAUAUGCACCUUCAGCCGAUCUAGUUCACGUCGACAUAUCGUGUCAAUAAAAUUGGUUAUUGGACAUCUACCGGACUAAUGUUUCUGUCAUCACGUACACACGGCAGUGAUCAGUCAAGGUAGAUACCCCUGCACUCCUCUAGAGUGUGGUAAGGUUCAAGGCCACUCUGAAGAUAUAGACAACACACUCCACCUGUCAUCGACCAACGCUCUUGUACAUGUUCUUGGUUUCUUUCACACUACACGCAUUCGUUCUUGACUCAAACGCGUUCGUUCAUCGUAUGGUUACACUUCUAUUUAGCUUGGUAUCGAACAAUUUGUGAAUUAAUGUCCUUUCCGCUGAACAGCAGCUGGUUCACGUACUGGAACCCAUUGAUUUACUCUCUCGCUGUAUGCGCCUGGGUCACGUACUGGAUGAUUUACUCACGUGCUCUCAGAUAUAUGAUAUCAUUAUGCAGAUGGGUCACGCAGGUGUCCAUGACAGCAUAACAGCCCGACAAGAGCCAUGCAUGUACCACGUGUCAACAUUAUAUGCGCAGCGCACAUAAACACAUGCCUUCUUUCCCGCAGUGGCAGUUCGACUUGCACGUUACAAGCUUACUCAUAACAUGUUACCAUUCAAACAACUGUCUGAAGUCUAAUUAUGGACGUUAAAACCCGUUGGUAUCUGUAUGUCAGUUGUCAAAUGGCAGAUGGACUGGUCAUUUAUUUUUAUUUAUUUGGGGUGUUUGGGUAUGAGACAUUGAAACAUUAGCGAAAGGAGGGGAUUUGGGGUCGCCAUAGUUUAUCACAAAUGUACCGUGGACCAAGUUUUGUCGAACCCAGGAUCUUAACUAGUAGUCCAUGUGAAUAGACCGUGUUAUCUUUCCGCAACGUUUACCCUUAAACGACAGUAGCUGUGUAGCUCAUCCCAUAGUUUUCGGACAGAAGCCAUGUACACGCUGCAGCAGUUUCGCAGUAUCAUCUGGUUAUACAUGAGGGCAUAAUUGUAUCCAUCACAAUUUGUAAUCCCGCAACAUACAUGUAGUUAACAAGGAGGUCAAUGACUAAUGGGAAUUUGUAUUAUUGUCGCAUGAACAUAUACUAGUAUAUAAUAUAAAGAGUUCAAACAAGACGGAAGGGAACGAAUCAUACAAACCAUCUCGCGCUAAUCCUUGUAAACAAUCAGGAAUGGAGCUUGCCAUGUCCUACCUACAUGUUCAAACAUUUCUUGACUUAAAACAAUUUCAUGUUACAAUUUCAGAUUAGUCCCAGCUUGCGGCCGACAAGGUUCAUACAGCAAUAUUUGAAUGAAUACCAAUGCGUCUUUAAUAGAUGUGUUCGAAAGUUGAUGGUUUAUCAUGUUGCGAUUUCUACUCAUUGAAAACUCAUACUAGCUUCCGACAGCUUCUACUCAUUGUAUACCCAUGGCAGCUUGCAAUAGCUUUACAACUGUACAGGACUUGUAUUGUUUACGUUGCAUACACUGUCUUAUCGGUAGACGGGGCAUACAUUUUUUAGGUAGAAAGACAGCAGAACUAAUGUACUUGCAUACGAUAUCAAUCUGUUAAAAAAAAUUUCUCUUGAUGUCCGUGUUUAUUUGCUUAUCUCGCAUAUAUAACAUGAAUAAUGAAAUAUUUAACAGAGCUUUGAGUCCUGUAUUUUCAAGAAAAUCCAAAAGUUGCUGUUGCUUAUCAAAGCAUUGUAUAGUAAUGUGACAAUAUCCGUCUCGAUAGUUUACAUUUCAAGCCGGUAAUAUCUAGACUUUGGCUUUGCACAUAAUGGCUAUAUUUGUAAUGAACAAUAUCAGAACUACCUGUUUGUCUGUGUGUUAGUAUGGUUUUUGUUUUGUCUUUAAUCAGUGGGAAAUGGCUGACAAUUAGUUGCAAGUUCAAAGUAGUAAGUAGUUUGCGAAAUAAAGGGUAGAAUUGCGUAUAUUUAACAUGUUUUCGUGAUAACAUUAAGGAAUGGUAUGAUGCACUUUCUGAGUAAGCACAUAUUUAUAAGACAUAAAACUAAACACACUUGACAUGUACAUGAAGAAAUAACACCAAUCUCUCGGCUAUGGUCAUAGAUCACCGCCUGUGAAAAUGUGUAUGUUUGAUGUUUUUCGUGUUUACUGUUUAUUUACGAAAAUCCACCAAUGGAGGAAAAGCUAUUUUGACAUGAUGCCGUGCCCUAAUGUAUAAGAACUACAAUGUGAUACAAUCCUCUCUUGACUGAUCUUUUGCGGCCUUGAGCUAUCCUUUGCACAGACAUACAUUUUAAGCAUAUUUAAGCUACUUGCCUAUUUAUUGCUCUGUUCUGACAGAUAACUCAUAAUUCACUCUAGAAAGUAAGAUGCACAUACACACCCGAAAUAUAGAGCUAUGAAACUAAAACUAACAAAAUACUGUAUCAAGUUAUUGUCUAAAAGAGCAGGUGUCGGACGUACCUAAAUCUCCUUGUUCCUGGGGGCGGUCGGGUAGCCUAGUGGUUAAAGCGUUCGCUCGUCACGCCGAAGACCCGGUUCGAUUCCCGACAUGGGUAUAAUGUGUGAAGCCCAUUUCUGGUGUCCUCCGCCGUGAUAUUGCUGGAAUAUUGCUAAAAGCGGCGUUAAUAAAUACUCACUCACUUCUUGUUACUGCUGUUAUUGUACAUUCAUCCUCUGAAUGUAUAGGCUUGUAUUAAGCUCGCUUUGUCCUCAAUAAUCUGAUCAAAACAAUACAAUCUCCGUCUUAUACUAAAAAAAUUAUCCAUGUAUAUGUAGAGUCUUGCGUUUUGAUAUAAUCUUGUGCAUGUCUUGUAUGGUUUGGAAAGUUGAAGACAAUUAUUUGCAUUCAAACUAGUACGUCGUUUGCGAACUACAGGGUAGAAUUGUGUGUUUAUAACAGGGUUGGCUUUCAUGGUAAUCUUGGGGAGUGCUGAUAAUGGUGUGAUGUAACAUUUGUUGAUAACCACACUUCUUAAGAAAGCACACAUUUAAAAUGCAACUAACUAACUCACUCUUUUGUGGAAACAACACCAGCGUCUUAACUAUGAUAUCACAUUACUAUCUUGAAAAUGUGCAUGUUUGAUGUAUUUAUGUUGCUGCUGUUUAUUUGACGAAACUCCAAUACAUAGAAGAAAAGCUAUUCAUACAUGAUAUACCGUGAUAUAUUAGAACGAACAACUCCAAUGUGAUUGUCACAAUAUUCUCUUGACUGAUCUUUUUCUGGCCCUGAGAUAUCCCUUGAACACACAUACAUUUCAAGUAUAUUUAAUGGACUUGAAUACUAAUACUCUUAAUUUAAUCCGAAUUGUAGUGACAAAUGUGUCCUAAUUCAAUUGUAGAAAGUAUGAGAAAGGUGUAUUCAAUUCCAACCCAAAAUAUAGAGUUUUCAAACUAACGCUAAUCCAACAAACUACCGUUUCAAAUUAUGGUUUUGUUCAAUGAACAUGUCCCUGGUACAUGGAAAAGCAAUGACUUUGAAAUGUUUUAUCACUGAAUGCAAAGGUAUAUUGAAAGGAAGUUCAUAGUAAUACUACCACUUCCCCUUAUAAUUGUACCUUCAUCUCCUUGUUAUUGCUGUUAUAGUAGCACUUCUUUUAAUAGAAUUUCCACGUUACAUGUGUAUCUCUACUAAUGGCCAAAUAGGAUAGUGUAAAAGUGAAAAACUGAUUUGCGCAUGCAUUGAGCGCAAAUGCCCGAUGUCGAUUUCAUAGAAUAAAUCUGAGAGCAAAACCAACUUUGAAAUGCUUGUUUCAGCCACUUAGAGAAAUGGCAAAUAUAAUCUUAUGCUAUUAACGUUGACACAAUCGACUUAUAAUGCCGACAAUGUGUUUUCAACUGGUAUUUAAAAUAAAAGAAAACCAUUUAUUCAUAAUUCCAAUGUAUAUUCUUGUAUUUUUCACGCUUUGAUGGCUACAAUCUGACCCAAACCCCGCAAUUCAGUCUUACACCCAUAAAUGAACAAUGUGUAUGUAGAGUACGAAAGUUCAUUCCACAGAGUUCAUUUCACAGAGUAAAAGUUAAUCAGACUUGAUUUCAUGCCCUGAUGUAUUAGAACAACUACGAUGUGAUACUCACAAUGCUCUCUUGACUGAAUUGGAGUGACAAAUGUGUUACAAUUCAAUGGUAGAAAGUAGUAUACACAUGCAUUUAAUUCCCUACCGAAAGAUAGAGUUUUCAAAGUAAAGCUAUUGUAAGAAAAUACCGUAUCAAAUUAUGGUUUUGUUCAAUGAACGAUAUACAUGGAAACGCAAUGACUUUGACCAUGUUUUGUCACUGAUUGCAUAUGAGCACAUGGAGGCAAGUGCAUAGUAACAUAACCCCUUCCCCUAUACCUGCAUCUCCUCCUUGUUACUGCUGUUAUAAUAGCAUAUGGUCUAAUUUGAUUCACACGUAACAUCUUUAUCACUCUAAGGGACCAUGUAGGAUAGUGUAAAAGUGAAAAAUGAUGUGCGAAUGACUUGGAUAUGUUUGAAAGUGUAGUCAUCCUUUGGUAAGAAAUGCCAUUUACUCCUUUUAUUCUUUAUCCUGAAGCCAAACAUGCAACACAAUGUUGACGAUAUGAAUCUGUUGAAAGUGUUUGACUCAUGGUGUCCGUCUUUGUUUGGUUAUCCCUCAUACAUAACCUAAAUUAUGAAAGAUAACCAGAGGUUUGCUUGGUGUUUAUGAUAAUGGUCCAAAGUCGUCGCCCUAAUAUACAAUAUUCUCCCUGUCUGGGAAGCGCAAAUGCACGAGGUAGAUUUCAUAGAUAAAUCCGACUGCAAAACCAACUUUGAAAGUAGUGUUUCAAGUACGUAAAGAAAUGACAAAUAUGAAUCUUAUGCCAUUAACGCAUUCGACUUAAAAUACCGAAUCUACUUCCAGUGGGUUUUCAUCUGGAAUAUAUACCGAGUAUUUAUGAAAUCCAUUCAUUCAUACUUCCAAUGUAUGUGAUUGUAUUUUGCACGCUUUGUAGUCCACAAUCUCAGCAAAUCCCACGAUGUCCUUCUUACACCCAUAAAUGAUCCAUGUUUGUGUAGAGUAUGUGUUUUGGUAUAAUUUUGAGUGUGUCUUCAACGGGUUGGAAAGGGAAAGACAACUAUAUGCAUGAUCAAACUGGUGUGUGGUUUACGAAAUAGAGGGUAGAAUUGUGUGUAUAUAACAGGGCUGGUUUUCAUGGUAUAUUGGUAUUGAAUGCUGAUAAUGGUGUGAUGAAACUUGUGUUGAUAAACAGACUUCCUAAGAAAGCACCCGUGUAUGAACCAAAAAACUAAACUCACUCUUUUGUGGAAAGAACACAAACCUCUUAGCUAUGGUGUCACAUAUUACUUUCAUGAAAACGUGCAUGUUUGAUGUAUCUGCGUUGUUACUGUUAAUUGGACGAAAGUUCAUUCCACAGAAUAAAAGCUAGUCAGACUUGAUUUCAUGCCCUGAUAUAUUAUAACAACUACAAUGUGAUACUCACAGUGCUCUCUUGACUGACUGAUCUUUUUCGGUCCUGAGCUAUGUUUUGUACAGACAUACAUUUUAAUAUAUUUAAUGGAUUUGAAUACUAAUUGCUCUUAAAUUACUCCCAAUUGGAGUGCCAAAUGUGUUACAAUUCAAUGGUAGAAAGUAGUAUACACAUGCAUUUAAUUCUCACCCGAAAGAUAGAGUUUUCAAAGUAAGGCUAUUGUAAGAAAAUACCGUAUCAAAUUAUGGUUUUGUUCAAUGAACGAUGUACAUGGAAACGCAAUGACUUUGUCCAUGUUUUAUCACUGAAUGCAUAUGAGCACAUGGAGGCAAGUGCAUAGUAACAUAACCCCUUCCCCUUAUACCUGCAUCUCCUCCUUGUUACUGCUGUUAUAAUAGCAUAUGGUAUUAUUUGAUUCACACGUAACAUCUUUAUCACUCUAAGGGACCAUGUAGGAUAGUGUAAAAGUGAAAAAUGAUGUGCGAAUGACUUGGAUAUGUUUGAAAGUGUAGUCAUCCUUUGGUAAGAAAUGCCAUUUACUCCUUUUAUUCUUUAUCCUGAAGCCAAACAUGCAACACAAUGUUGACGAUAUGAAUCUGUUGAAAGUGUUUGACUCAUGGUGUCCGUCUUUGUUUGGUUAUCCCUCAUACAUAACCUAAAUUAUGAAAGAUAACCAGAGGUUUGCUUGGUGUUUAUGAUAAUGGUCCAAAGUCGUCGCCCUAAUAUACAAUAUUCUCCCUGUCUGGGAAGCGCAAAUGCACGAGGUAGAUUUCAUAGAUAAAUCCGACUGCAAAACCAACUUUGAAAGUAGUGUUUCAAGUACGUAAAGAAAUGACAAAUAUGAAUCUUAUGCCAUUAACGCAUUCGACUUAAAAUACCGAAUCUACUUCCAGUGGGUUUUCAUCUGGAAUAUAUACCGAGUAUUUAUGAAAUCCAUUCAUUCAUACUUCCAAUGUAUGUGAUUGUAUUUUGCACGCUUUGUAGUCCACAAUCUCAGCAAAUCCCACGAUGUCCUUCUUACACCCAUAAAUGAUCCAUGUUUGUGUAGAGUAUGUGUUUUGGUAUAAUUUUGAGUGUGUCUUCAACGGGUUGGAAAGGGAAAGACAACUAUAUGCAUGAUCAAACUGGUGUGUGGUUUACGAAAUAGAGGGUAGAAUUGUGGGUAUAUAACAGGGCUGGUUUUCAUGGUAUAUUGGUAUUGAAUGCUGAUAAUGGUGUGAUGAAACUUGUGUUGAUAAACAGACUUCCUAAGAAAGCACCCGUGUAUGAACCAAAAAACUAAACUCACUCUUUUGUGGAAAGAACACAAACCUCUUAGCUAUGGUGUCACAUAUUACUUUCAUGAAAACGUGCAUGUUUGAUGUAUCUGCGUUGUUACUGUUAAUUGGACGAAAGUUCAUUCCACAGAAUAAAAGCUAGUCAGACUUGAUUUCAUGCCCUGAUAUAUUAUAACAACUACAAUGUGAUACUCACAGUGCUCUCUUGACUGACUGAUCUUUUUCGGUCCUGAGCUAUGUUUUGUACAGACAUACAUUUUAAUAUAUUUAAUGGAUUUGAAUACUAAUUGCUCUUAAAUUACUCCCAAUUGGAGUGCCAAAUGUGUUACAAUUCAAUGGUAGAAAGUAGUAUACACAUGCAUUUAAUUCUCACCCGAAAGACAGAGUUUUCAAAGUAAGGCUAUUGUAAGAAAAUACCGUAUCAAAUUAUGGUUUUGUUCAAUGAACGAUGUACAUGGAAACGCAAUGACUUUGUCCAUGUUUUAUCA
Molecule: long non-coding RNA, 7392 nt
Filed under: Haliotis rufescens (red abalone)
Lineage: Eukaryota; Metazoa; Mollusca; Gastropoda; Lepetellida; Haliotidae
Description: uncharacterized LOC124120535, transcript variant X1
Source: RNAcentral